This 6619-nucleotide long non-coding RNA is filed under the name Gossypium barbadense (sea-island cotton). Its description in RNAcentral is "long non-coding RNA (GBAR_LNC023217)". The record is from RNAcentral. Lineage: Eukaryota; Viridiplantae; Streptophyta; Magnoliopsida; Malvales; Malvaceae.
AAUAAAGCCAAAAGAACAAUUUUGGGCCCGUUACGUCUUGUAACCGUUUGUUAGCUUAAGCAAUCAUAUAUCCUUAAGCAGACGGAGACGGUGAAUCGAUCAAUGCAAGGCAAUUAUUCCAUGUUUGAAUGCUCUUCGCUAUAAUUCUCGCUGGGCUUAGGUCUUUGAAUAGAGGAUUUUCGAGAGUCCUCUUUACUAAUGCUGAGUGGCAAACUUUUCCCAACCCAACAAGUUCGCCGCAACACUUGCUAGAAAUAGUCCCCUGUCUCGAAAAUACUCGUGAAAGCUUCUAGAACACAGGGCAAACCCAUUUUAGUUUCACAAUUAUUAUCCUUAAUAAUCUGGUCGUUCUCCUUCGUAGCCAUUGCUGCCCCGCAAGUUAAGAAUAAAACCACUAGUGCGGAAUAAACAUUAAGGCUUGCCAUACCGCUCGAAUCUGAUGUUACUAGUUAAAUUUGGUUCGUAAAAUUAAUUUCGAACAAGAUUUGCAAGGAAAAGAAAUGGCAUUUAUAGGAAGUGUUAUAACCACAUUGGACUACAAUACGUUACAGUAAAAUAAAACAUUCAAUAUUUUAGUUUAAUUAGAACAUUCAAUAUUUCAGUUUAAUUAGCACUAAUUUUAAUUACUACAAAUCUAAAUAUUAAUUCAAGGACGCACAUUAAUAUUUCCCUUCAUAAUUCUUAAAUGGCAUUAAACGGGUCACGAAAAUAAUGUUCAACAAAGAUGAUUAUGUUGUACAUGUGUUUCACCGUCGAAGCUGGGAUUGAACUAUUACGUCCAGUCCAAACCAAACACCUGGACGAUAAUAUGGAGGAAACAUCGUAUGGAAAAAGCAAUAUGGGAUUUAGUACACUUGCAUUACAGGCACACAUAUUCGUUAUGUGUGUCGUCCUAUUUUUCUAAUUUUUUGAAGUUGUGUACGCACUUGUUAUUUUAAUGGUAAAAAAUUCACGUGUAUCUCAAAAGUGAAUGAGCUAUACCAGAUUCCUCUGCCAGUGAUAUGGAUGUGGCACAAUGUAGAAAUAAUUAUGCGAAGCGCAAAAUCUUAUAACUUUGUUGUUGUUAAAAAGUUUUUAUCAAACCUAUCAUAUUUGUAAAAUGGAAAAUGGCAACUGGAUGAUUGAAAUUCAAAAUUAUUACAUCAAAAAUAUUUCUCGUUGUGAAAUUAAGUCGAUGUUUGUCUUCAUCGCGGGACUGCAUUUCAGUUUUUGUAGUCUUCGUUCUACGUUAACUUUUUAGGUGUGAGCGUUCCGACCCAAUGUUACUGGAAUAUGAAUUGAAUCUUCUAGUUGGAUAAGUAAUGGAACUUGGAAAAUGAAAAAUUCUCUUAGUGAGUUAAAUUGGAAACAACAAAUGAUGUUACAUUUCCAUAACUGUCGUAGGUAUUGCCCAAAUAAUGGAUAGGAUUUUGUUUUUAUAUAAAUUGAACCUUUUUUAAUAGGGAGAAUGUGGGACGUACGUUGCCGACAUAUUUCGAAUUUCAUUAUCGAUCAUGAUAAAAAAAGUAAUCUAAAGGAAGAAGAAUAAGGAAAUGAAGUUCAGACUUUGAAGCGUUCCAUCACUUUCGACGAGGAUUUCAAGAUUGCCUCUCCUCUUCGGAAAAGAAAGAGGUCGUAACUGUUAGAUAAGUAUCGAAGGAGUGAAAAUGGAAAAUGAAACAAAGGUGUCCAUAGGCAAUGAACUAUUGCAAAUUAUAGUGCAUGUCCCUUGGAGGAUAUUUCCUUGCACGAUAUGUGUCUUUUCACAACUUCGAGAAGUCAAGGUUCUUUUCCCUUAAAGCCAAUGUGAAUUUAAAUUGUAUAAAGACUUUCAAGGAAUUGAGAUUGUUUUCAUUCCACACCACGCUAGAACAUUCCAAUUCCACAUUAUUGGAAUGAACUUAAUGUUUAUAAUAAUGAUAUUUGUGCAAUUUAAACACUGUGAAACAGUAUAUAGUGCUCAAUUAGAGAUGGUUACCGAGUUCUAAAUGCUAUAAAGUUAAAAGCAUUGGCAAAUAUAAAAUUAUAGUGUAUUAAUAAAUGGCUCCUCUAGAACCAUUUAAUUUUCUUAGAACUAAAUAUAAUUUAACUAGGCUUAAAUUUAAUGACACAUUUUAAUGAAGCUUUCGGAACAAUAUCAAAAAUAAAGCCAAAAGAACAAUUUUGGGCCCGUUACGUCUUGUAACCGUUUGUUAGCUUAAGCAAUCAUAUAUCCUUAAGCAGACGGAGACGGUGAAUCGAUCAAUGCAAGGCAAUUAUUCCAUGUUUGAAUGCUCUUCGCUAUAAUUCUCGCUGGGCUUAGGUCUUUGAAUAGAGGAUUUUCGAGAGUCCUCUUUACUAAUGCUGAGUGGCAAACUUUUCCCAACCCAACAAGUUCGCCGCAACACUUGCUAGAAAUAGUCCCUGUCUCGAAAAUACUCGUGAAAGCUUCUAGAACACAGGGCAAACCCAUUUUAGUUUCACAAUUAUUAUCCUUAAUAAUCUGGUCGUUCUCCUUCGUAGCCAUUGCUGCCCGCGCAAGUGAAGAAUAAAACCACUAGUGCGGAAUAAACAUUAAGGCUUGCCAUACCGCUCGAAUCUGAUGUUACUAGUUAAAUUUGGUUCGUAAGAUUAUUUCGAACAAGAUUUGCAAGGAAAAGAAAUGGCAUUUAUAGGAAGUGUUAUAACCACAUUGGACUACAAUACGUUACAGUAAAAGAAAACAUUCAAUAUUUUAGUUUAAUUAGAACAUUCAAUAUUUCAGUUUAAUUAGCAUUAAUUUUAAUUACUACAAAUCUAAAUAUUAAUUCAAGGACGCACAUUAAUAGUUCCCUUCAUAAUUCUUAAAUGGCAUUAAACGGGUCACGAAAAUAAUGUUCAACAAAGAUGAUUAUGUUGUACAUGUGUUUCACCGUCGAAACUGGGAUUGAACUAUUACGUCCAGUCCAAACCAAACACCUGGACGAUAAUAUGGAGGAAACAUCGUAUGGAAAAAGCAAUAUGGGAUUUAGUACACUUGCAUUAGAGGCACACAUAUUCGUUAUGUGUGUCGUCCUAUUUUUCUAAUUUUUUGAAGUUGUGUACGCACUUGUUAUUUUGAUGGUAAAAAAUUCACGUGUAUCUCAAAAGUGAAUGAGCUAUACCAGAUUCCUCUGCCAGUGAUAUGGAUGUGGCACAAUGUAGAAAUAAUUAUGCGAAGCGCAAAAUCUUAUAACUUUGUUGUUGUUAAAAAGUUUUUAUCAAACUUAUCAUAUUUGUAAAAUGGAAAAUGGCAACUGAAUGAUUGAAAUUCAGAAUUAUUACAUCAAAAAUAUUUCUCGUUCUGAAAUUAAGUCGAUGUUUGUCUUCAUCGCGGGACUGCAUUUCAGUUUUUGUAGUCUUCGUUCUACGUUAACUUUUUAGGUGUGAGCGUUCCGACCCAAUGUUACUGGAAUAUGAAUUGAAUCUUCUAGUUGGAUAAGUAAUGGAACUUGGAAAAUGAAAAAUUCUCUUAGUGAGUUAAAUUGGAAACAACAAAUGAUGUUACAUUUCCAUAACUGUCGUAGGUAUUUCCCAAAUAAUGGAUAGGAUUUUGUUUUUAUAUAAAUUGAACCUUUUUUAAUAGGGAGAAUGUGGGACGUACGUCGCCGACAUAUUUGGAGUUUCAUUAUCGAUCAUGAUAAAAAAAGUAAUCUAAAGGAAGAAGAAUAAGGAAAUGAAGUUCAGACUUUGAAGCGUUCCAUCACUUUCGACGAGGAUUUCAAGAUUGCCUCUCCUCUUCGGAAAAGAAAGAGGUCGUAACUGUUAGAUAAGUAUCGAAGGAGUGAAAAUGGAAAAUGAAACAAAGGUGUCCAUAGGCAAUGAACUAUUGCAAAUUAUAGUGCAUGUCCCUUGGAGGAUAUUUCCUUGCACGAUAUGUGUCUUUUCACAACUUCGAGAAGUCAAGGUUCUUUUCCCUUAAAGCCAAUGUGAAUUUAAAUUGUAUAAAGACUUUCAAGGAAUUGAGAUUGUUUCCAUUCCACACCACGCUAGAACAUUCCAAUUCCACAUUAUUGGAAUGAACUUAAUGUUUAUAAUAAUUAUAUUUGUGCAAUUUAAACACUGUGAAACAGUAUAUAGUGCUCGAUUUGAGAUGGUUACCGAGUUCUAAUGCUAUAAAGUUAAAAGCAUUGGCAAAUAUAAAAUUAUAGUGUAUUAAUAAAUGGCUCCUCUAGAACCAUUUAAUUUUCUUAGAACUAAAUAUAAUUUAACUAGGCUUAAAUUUAAUGACACAUUUUAAUGAAGCUUUCGGAACAAUAUCAAAAAUAAAGCCAAAAGAACAAUUUUGGGCCCGUUACGUCUUGUAACCGUUUGUUAGCUUAAGCAAUCAUAUAUCCUUAAGCAGACGGAGACGGUGAAUCGAUCAAUGCAAGGCAAUUAUUCCAUGUUUGAAUGCUCUUCGCUAUAAUUCUCGCUGGGCUUAGGUCUUUGAAUAGAGGAUUUUCGAGAGUCCUCUUUACUAAUGUUGUGUGGCAAACUUUUCCAACCCAACAAGUUCGCCGCAACACUUGCUAGAAAUAGUCCCUGUCUUGAAAAUACUCGUGAAAGCUUCUAGAACACAGGGCAAACCCAUUUUAGUUUCACAAUUAUUAUCCUUAAUAAUCUGGUCGUUCUCCUUCGUAGCCAUUGCUGCCGCGCGAGUGAAGAAUAAAACCACUAGUGCGGAAUAAACAUUAAGGCUUGCCAUACCGCUCGAAUCUGAUGUUACUAGUUAAAUUUGGUUCGUAAGAAUAAUUUUCGAACAAGAUUUGCAAGGAAAAGAAAUGGCAUUUAUAGGAAGUGUUAUAACCACAUUGGACUACAAUACGUUACAGUAAAAGAAAACAUUCAAUAUUUUAGUUUAAUUAGAACAUUCAAUAUUUCAGUUUAAUUAGCAUUAAUUUUAAUUACUACAAAUCUAAAUAUUAAUUCAAGGACGCAGCAUUAAUAUUUCCCUUCAUAAUUCUUAAAUGGCAUUAAACUGGUCACGAAAAUAAUGUUCAACAAAUAUGAUUAUGUUGUACAUGUGUUUCACCGUCGAAACUGGGAUUGAACUAUUACGUCCAGUCCAAACCAAACACCUGGACGAUAAUAUGGAGGAAACAUCGUAUGGAAAAAGCAAUAUGGGAUUUAGUACACUUGCAUUAGAGGCACACAUAUUCGUUAUGUGUGUCGUCCUAUUUUUCUAAUUUUUUGAAGUUGUGUACGCACUUGUUAUUUUGAUGGUAAAAAAUUCACGUGUAUCUCAAAAGUGAAUGAGCUAUACCAAAUUCGUCUGCCAGUGAUAUGGAUGUGGCACAAUGUAGAAAUAAUUAUGCGAAGCGCAAAAUCUUAUAACUUUGUUGUUGUUAAAAAGUGUUUAUCAAACUUAUCAUAUUUGUUAAAAGGGAAAAUGGCAACUGAAUGAUUAAAAUUCAGAAUUAUUGCAUCAAAAAUAUUUCUUUUUCUGAAAUUAAGUCGAUGUUUGUCUUCAUCCCGGGACUGCAUUUCAGUUUUUGUAGUCUUCGUUCUACGUUAACUCUUUAGGUGUGAGCAUUCCGACCCAAUGUUACUGGAAUAUGAAUUGAAUCUUCUAGUUGGAUAAGUAAUGGAACUUGGAAAAUGAAAAAUUCUUUUAGUGAGUUAAAUUGGAAACAACAAAUGAUGUUACAUUUCCAUAACUGUCGUAGGUAUUGCCCAAAUAAUGGAUAGGAUUUUGUGUUUAUAUAAAUUGAACCUUUUUUAAUAGGGAGAAUGUGGGACGUACGUCGCCGACAUAUUUGGAGUUUCAUUAUCCAUCAUGAUAAAAAAAAGUAAUCUAAAGGAAGAAGAAUAAGGAAAUGAAGUUCAGACUUUGAAGCGUUCCAUCACUUUCGACGAGGAUUUCAAGAUUGCCUCUCCUCUUCGGAAAAGAAAUAUGUCAUAACUGUUAGAUAAGUAUCGAAGGAGUGAAAAUGGAAAAUGAAACAAAGGUGUCCAUAGGCAAUGAACUAUUGCAAAUUAUAGUGCAUGUCCCUUGGAGGAUAUUUCCUUGCACGAUAUGUGUCUUUUCACAACUUCGAGAAGUCAAGGUUCUUUUCCCUUAAAGCCAAUGUGAAUUUAAAUUGUAUAAAGACCUUCAAGGAAUUGAGAUUGUUUCCAUUCCACACCACGCUAGAACAUUCCAAUUCCACAUUAUUGGAAUGAACUUAAUGUUUAUAAUAAUUAUAUUUGAGCAAUUUAAACACUGUGAAACAGUAUAUAGUGCUCGAUUUGAGAUGGUUACCGAGUUCUAAUGCUAAAAGUUAAAAGCAUCGGCAAAUAUAAAAUUAUAGUGUAUUAAUAAAUGGCUCCUCUAGAACCAUUUAAUUUUCUUAGGACUAAAUAUAAUUUAACUAGGCUUAAAUUUAAUGACACAUUUUAAUGAAGCUUUCGGAACAAUAUCAAAAAUAAAGCCAAAAGAACAAUUUUGGGCCCGUUACGUCUUGUAACCGUUUGUUAGCUUAAGCAAUCAUAUAUCCUUAAGCAGACGGAGACGGUGAAUCGAUCAAUGCAAGGCAAAUAUUCCAUGUUUGAAUGCUCUUCACUAUAAUUCUCGCUGGGCUUAGGUCUUUGAAUAGAGGAUUUUCGAGAGUCCUCUUUACUAAUGUUGUGUGGCAAACUUUUCCAAACCCAACAAGUUCGCCGCAACACUUGCUAGAAAUAG